Molecule: ribosomal RNA, 725 nt
Filed under: Salmonella enterica subsp. enterica serovar Kentucky
Lineage: Bacteria; Pseudomonadati; Pseudomonadota; Gammaproteobacteria; Enterobacterales; Enterobacteriaceae
Also listed under: 1 other name
Description: partial 23S ribosomal RNA
Rfam family: Bacterial large subunit ribosomal RNA
Source: RNAcentral
UGUUCUAACGUGGACCCGUAAUCCGGGUUGCGGACAGUGUCUGGUGGGUAGUUUGACUGGGGCGGUCUCCUCCUAAAGAGUAACGGAGGAGCACGAAGGUUGGCUAAUCCUGGUCGGACAUCAGGAGGUUAGUGCAAUGGCAUAAGCCAGCUUGACUGCGAGCGUGACGGCGCGAGCAGGUGCGAAAGCAGGUCAUAGUGAUCCGGUGGUUCUGAAUGGAAGGGCCAUCGCUCAACGGAUAAAAGGUACUCCGGGGAUAACAGGCUGAUACCGCCCAAGAGUUCAUAUCGACGGCGGUGUUUGGCACCUCGAUGUCGGCUCAUCACAUCCUGGGGCUGAAGUAGGUCCCAAGGGUAUGGCUGUUCGCCAUUUAAAGUGGUACGCGAGCUGGGUUUAGAACGUCGUGAGACAGUUCGGUCCCUAUCUGCCGUGGGCGCUGGAGAACUGAGGGGGGCUGCUCCUAGUACGAGAGGACCGGAGUGGACGCAUCACUGGUGUUCGGGUUGUCAUGCCAAUGGCACUGCCCGGUAGCUAAAUGCGGAAGAGAUAAGUGCUGAAAGCAUCUAAGCACGAAACUUGCCCCGAGAUGAGUUCUCCCUGAGACUUAGAGUCUCCUGAAGGAACGUUGAAGACGACGACGUUGAUAGGCCGGGUGUGUAAGCGCAGCGAUGCGUUGAGCUAACCGGUACUAAUGAACCGUGAGGCUUAACCUUACAACGCCGAAG